CAGUCGCCGCGGGAAUACAGAGGGUGCGAGCGUUAAUCGGAUUUACUGGGCGUAAAGCGUGCGUAGGCGGCUUUUUAAGUCGGAUGUGAAAUCCCUGAGCUUAACUUAGGAAUUGCAUUCGAUACUGGGAAGCUAGAGUAUGGGAGAGGAUGGUAGAAUUCCAGGUGUAGCGGUGAAAUGCGUAGAGAUCUGGAGGAAUACCGAUGGCGAAGGCAGCCAUCUGGCCUAAUACUGACGCUGAGGUACGAAAGCGUGGGGAGCAAACAGGAUUAGAUACCCCUGUAGUCCCUGUCUCUUAUAC
RNAcentral lists this ribosomal RNA (301 nucleotides) under uncultured bacterium. Its description in RNAcentral is "partial 16S ribosomal RNA". It matches the Rfam family "Bacterial small subunit ribosomal RNA", at positions 509 to 807 of the family's 1533-position model. The record is from RNAcentral.